This 141-nucleotide ribosomal RNA is filed under the name uncultured bacterium. RNAcentral describes it as "partial 16S rRNA". It matches the Rfam family "Bacterial small subunit ribosomal RNA", at positions 355 to 511 of the family's 1533-position model. The record is from RNAcentral.
UGGGGAAUUUUUUGCAAUGGGCGAAAGCCGGACGGAGCAAUGCCGCGUGGAGGUGGAAGGCCUACGGGUCGUCAACUUCUUUUCUCAGAGAAGAAAUAAUGACGGUAUCUGAGGAAUAAGCAUCGGCUAACUCUGUGCCAA